This 292-nucleotide ribosomal RNA is filed under the name uncultured bacterium. RNAcentral's name for it is "partial 16S ribosomal RNA". It matches the Rfam family "Bacterial small subunit ribosomal RNA", at positions 505 to 796 of the family's 1533-position model. The record is from RNAcentral.
GUGCCAGCCGCCGCGGUAAUACGGAGGAUCCAAGCGUUAUCCGGAUUUAUUGGGUUUAAAGGGUGCGUAGGCGGCCAAUUAAGUCAGGGGUGAAAGACGGUAGCUUAACUAUCGCAGUGCCUUUGAUACUGAUUGGCUUGAAUCCACUUGAGGUAGGCGGAAUGUGACAAGUAGCGGUGAAAUGCAUAGAUAUGUCACAGAACACCAAUUGCGAAGGCAGCUUACUAAAGUGGCAUUGACGCUGAGGCACGAAAGCGUGGGGAUCAAACAGGAUUAGAUACCCGCGUAGUCC